GAUAACCGUGGUAAUUCUAGAGCUAAUACAUGCAAUUAAGCCCGACUUAUGGAAGGGCUGUAUUUAUUAGAUAACAAACCGAUAUUCCUUUGGUCUAUUGAGGUGAAUCAUAGUAACUGAUCGAAUCGUGGCAUGCCGCGAUAAAUCAUUCAAGUUUCUGACCCAUCAGCUGUCGAUGGUAGUGUAUUGGACUACCAUGGCUUUUACGGGUGACGGAGGAUUAGGGUUCGAUUCCGGAGAGGGAGCCUGAGAAACGGCUACCACAUCUAAGGAAGGCAGCAGGCGCGUAAAUUACCCAAUCCCGACUCGGGGAGGUAGUGACAAGAAAUAACGGACCGGGUCUUCGAUCCGGGAUUGCAAUGAGUUAAAUCCAAAUCCCUUUGCGAAAUCGAUUGGAGGGCAAGUCUGGUGCCAGCAGCCGCGGUAAUUCCAGCUCCAAUAGCGUAUAUUAAAGUUGUUGCAGUUAAAAAGCUCGUAGUUGGAUUUCUGGGGGGCGCAGAUUGUCCGCAGACGCGUGUGCAGAUGCGCCCUUUCAUCCUUCUGUUAACGUCUCUUGACAUUCAUUUGUUGGUGGCGGGCUCAGAUAUUUUACCUUGAGAAAAUUAGAGUGUUUCAGGCAGGCUCGCGUCGGAAUACAUUAGCAUGGAAUAAUAGAAUAGGACUCAGUCCUCCUUUGUUGGUUUGAGGGGUCAGAGUAAUGGUUAAUAGGGAUAGUUGGGGGCAUUAGUAUUUGACUGUCAGAGGUGAAAUUCUCGGAUUUGUUAAAGACUAACUUAUGCGAAAGCAUUUGCCAAGGAUGUUUCAUUAAUCAAGAACGAAAGUUNGGGAUCAAAGACGAUCAGAUACCGUCCUAGUCUUAANNUAAACUAUGCC
Molecule: ribosomal RNA, 873 nt
Filed under: uncultured eukaryote
Lineage: Eukaryota
Description: SSU rRNA
Rfam family: Eukaryotic small subunit ribosomal RNA
Source: RNAcentral